GAUGAACGCUAGCGGCAGGCCUAACACAUGCAAGUCGAGGGAGAAGCCCUUUCGGGGGCAGAUACCGGCGCACGGGUGCGUAACGCUUCUGCAACCUACCUUUCACAGGGGGAUAGCCCGAAGAACUUUGGAUUAAUACCCCAUAAUCUUAUUGGAUGGCAUCAUUUGAUAAUUAAAACUGCGGUGGUGCAAGAUGGGCAUGCGUCCUAUUAGCUAGUUGGAGUGGUAACGGCACCCCAAGGCUACGAUAGGUAGGGGUCCUGAGAGGGAGAUCCCCCACACUGGUACUGAGACAGGGACCAGACUCCUACGGGAGGCAGCAGUGAGGAAUAUUGGUCAAUGGUCGGAAGACUGAACCAGCCAUGCCGCGUGCAGGAAGAAUGCCUUAUGGGUUGUAAACUGCUGUUAUAUGGGAAGAAUAAGGUGUACGUGUACAUGGAUGACGGUACCAUAUGAAUAAGCUUCGGCUAACUCCGUG
This 478-nucleotide ribosomal RNA is filed under the name uncultured bacterium. RNAcentral's name for it is "partial 16S ribosomal RNA". It matches the Rfam family "Bacterial small subunit ribosomal RNA", at positions 28 to 507 of the family's 1533-position model. The record is from RNAcentral.